Molecule: long non-coding RNA, 1368 nt
Organism: Neofelis nebulosa (Clouded leopard)
Lineage: Eukaryota; Metazoa; Chordata; Mammalia; Carnivora; Felidae
Exons: 6
Source: RefSeq, a predicted model, not a curated record
UUACACAUGUGUUCCCGCUGCCCCUGGUUUAUUGUUUGUGUUUCAGAGAAAGACCAGUAGAAGAGUGUGUGGAUGCUGCCUGCAUUCUGGCCCAGAGUCUGGACUCUGUCCUCUUCUAGAACAUUCUUCCUCUUCCUCCCCCUGUAGGCUCUCUUGCCUUCGCCAGCUUGUCAGGAUGCUGCCAGCUCCGGGCAUGGGGCUGUGUCUGCCCCAGCGUGGUGGAGAGCUGGAAUCUGAGCACUCGAGCUCGGGGACAGCUGCCCACCUUGAGCCCACAAGAGGAAGGAGCACGGGGAGGAGGUUAUGCUUGUGGGGGGUGCAGAACAAGGGAAAACAGAGAAGCCGGCUUGGAGCAUCUCUUGCGAUGUGCCCUCUGCAUUAUCACCCGCUGGCCCUGAUGCCAGCUGACAGACCUCAUCCAAACACUUGGCUGGGCUUUGGGGACUUCUUUUAACGCCUGCUAGUGAGUUUGCUGGCUUCCUGGAUGCUCAUUUCUGGUUCUGCACAAAAGAGCCACAUUUCCUUUUGGAACCGGGACCAGGAGACAGACAGCAACAGACAUUGGAAAUUGUUGUGAAGAUUUGAGACUGUGAAUGCAAAGGCGGGGCCCAUAGAACGUGCUGGAUAAAGGUCUCUGGGCCAGUCCCUGGAGCCCCGAAAUAAACGGGCAGAGGGGGCUGCCUGGCAUCGCGUCUUGGCCACCUACCAGCCGGACACCCCAGCACUCUAGCCGCCCUGCUGCCAGCAUGAGACGUGGCUGUGCCGGCCUGAGGAAGGACGAAGAACGCGCAGCCCGCUCGCCCGGUCAGCGCCUUGGAGCUCCUGCACAUGUUGGCCCGGUGGGAAGAUUGACCUUAUUUCCAUUCUCCUACUGAAAGUGACAAUGCAGCCAAGUGCCACUUCUGGGCCAGGGGGACGCUGUGAUCAGAUGAGAGACAGGUUCACGCCGCUGCAGUGACCCUCUGGAAAAGGAAGCAACCGGGCAUUUCCUCUGCACAUUGUCUUUCUGCAAAAUUACGAGUAAGGAAUAUUUGGACUGGAUUGAUUUUCCUUCCUUGCAUGCCAGCAAAAACUUGCUAAGUUUAAGAGAAAUGGAGAAAAAGUCUGCAUUAUUACAUUUUAAUGGGCAAUCAUGUUCAAGCAAACCAAAGUGCCUGAUGACUUCCCCAGUCCCACAUCUGCCCAGGGGCCAUAACCACCCACACACCUAGAGGCCUGAGCUGUUCCGGGUCGCCGACUUUAGGUAAGUUGACUCUCACGCAGUGGUUUUGUAGCCGGCCGCCCCUGGGGGCCCCCCCCUUCACUUGCUGCCGUGUCUCCCCGGACGGCUCCUCCUAAGGUUUGGCUUGGUUGUGACUUUCCGGGACA